RNAcentral lists this ribosomal RNA (776 nucleotides) under Escherichia coli. Its description in RNAcentral is "partial 23S ribosomal RNA". It matches the Rfam family "Bacterial large subunit ribosomal RNA", at positions 344 to 1123 of the family's 2925-position model. The record is from RNAcentral. Lineage: Bacteria; Pseudomonadati; Pseudomonadota; Gammaproteobacteria; Enterobacterales; Enterobacteriaceae.
GGAAAGGCGCGCGAUACAGGGUGACAGCCCCGUACACAAAAAUGCACAUGCUGUGAGCUCGAUGAGUAGGGCGGGACACGUGGUAUCCUGUCUGAAUAUGGGGGGACCAUCCUCCAAGGCUAAAUACUCCUGACUGACCGAUAGUGAACCAGUACCGUGAGGGAAAGGCGAAAAGAACCCCGGCGAGGGGAGUGAAAAAGAACCUGAAACCGUGUACGUACAAGCAGUGGGAGCACGCUUAGGCGUGUGACUGCGUACCUUUUGUAUAAUGGGUCAGCGACUUAUAUUCUGUAGCAAGGUUAACCGAAUAGGGGAGCCGAAGGGAAACCGAGUCUUAACUGGGCGUUAAGUUGCAGGGUAUAGACCCGAAACCCGGUGAUCUAGCCAUGGGCAGGUUGAAGGUUGGGUAACACUAACUGGAGGACCGAACCGACUAAUGUUGAAAAAUUAGCGGAUGACUUGUGGCUGGGGGUGAAAGGCCAAUCAAACCGGGAGAUAGCUGGUUCUCCCCGAAAGCUAUUUAGGUAGCGCCUCGUGAAUUCAUCUCCGGGGGUAGAGCACUGUUUCGGCAAGGGGGUCAUCCCGACUUACCAACCCGAUGCAAACUGCGAAUACCGGAGAAUGUUAUCACGGGAGACACACGGCGGGUGCUAACGUCCGUCGUGAAGAGGGAAACAACCCAGACCGCCAGCUAAGGUCCCAAAGUCAUGGUUAAGUGGGAAACGAUGUGGGAAGGCCCAGACAGCCAGGAUGUUGGCUUAGAAGCAGCCAUCAUU